UACGUAGGGUGCGAGCGUUGUUCGGAAUUACUGGGCGUAAAGGGCUCGUAGGUGGCCAACUAAGUCGGACGUGAAAUCCCUCAGCUUAACUGGGGAACUGCGUCCGAUACUGGAUGGCUCGAGUUUGGGAGAGGGAUGCGGAAUUCCAGGUGUAGCGGUGAAAUGCGUAGAUAUCUGGAGGAACACCGGUGGCGAAGGCGGCAUCCUGGACCAACACUGACACUGAGGAGCGAAAGCCAGGGGAGCAAACGGG
RNAcentral lists this ribosomal RNA (253 nucleotides) under uncultured bacterium. RNAcentral's name for it is "partial 16S ribosomal RNA". It matches the Rfam family "Bacterial small subunit ribosomal RNA", at positions 524 to 776 of the family's 1533-position model. The record is from RNAcentral.